Molecule: ribosomal RNA, 497 nt
Filed under: uncultured bacterium
Lineage: Bacteria
Description: partial 16S ribosomal RNA
Rfam family: Bacterial small subunit ribosomal RNA
Source: RNAcentral
GAUGAACGCUGGCGGCGUGCCUAAUACAUGCAAGUCGAGCGAACAGACGAGGAGCUUGCUCCUCUGACGUUAGCGGCGGACGGGUGAGUAACACGUGGAUAACCUACCCAUAAGACUGGGAUAACUUCGGGAAACCGGAGCUAAUACUGGAUAAUAUAUUGAACCGCAUGGUUCAAUAGUGAAAGACGGUUUUGCUGUCACUUAUAGAUGGAUCCGCGCCGCAUUAGCUAGUUGGUAAGGUAACGGCUUACCAAGGCAACGAUGCGUAGCCGACCUGAGAGGGUGAUCGGCCACACUGGAACUGAGACACGGUCCAGACUCCUACGGGAGGCAGCAGUAGGGAAUCUUCCGCAAUGGGCGAAAGCCUGACGGAGCAACGCCGCGUGAGUGAUGAAGGUCUUCGGAUCGUAAAACUCUGUUAUUAGGGAAGAACAAAUGUGUAAGUAACUAUGCACGUCUUGACGGUACCUAAUCAGAAAGCCACGGCUAACUACGUG